UAAUACACAUAGAUGUCGUUCUGCAUCUCCC
This 31-nucleotide non-coding RNA is filed under the name Mus musculus (house mouse). Lineage: Eukaryota; Metazoa; Chordata; Mammalia; Rodentia; Muridae. The record is from RNAcentral.